AGGACGAACGCUGGCGGCGUGCUUAACACAUGCAAGUCGAGCGGAAAGGCCCUUCGGGGUACUCGAGCGGCGAAUGGGUGAGUAACACGUGAGUAAUCUGCCCCUAGCUCUGGGAUAGCUCCGGGAAAACCGGGAUUAAUACCAGAUACGACCACUUUAGACAUCUCUUGUGGUGGAAAGAAUUUCGGCUAGGGAUGAACUCGCGGCCUAUCAGCUUGUUGGUGAGGUAACGGCUCACCAAGGCGACGACGGGUA
This 255-nucleotide ribosomal RNA is filed under the name uncultured bacterium. RNAcentral's name for it is "partial small subunit ribosomal RNA". It matches the Rfam family "Bacterial small subunit ribosomal RNA", at positions 26 to 285 of the family's 1533-position model. The record is from RNAcentral.